UACAGAGGGUGCGAGCGUUAAUCGGAAUUACUGGGCGUAAAGCGUGCGUAGACGGUUAUUUAAGUCGGAUGUGAAAGCCCCGGGCUCAACCUGGGAAUUGCAUUCGAGACUGAAUAGCUAGGGUACGGUAGAGGGAAGCGGAAUUUCCGGUGUAGCGGUGAAAUGCGUAGAUAUCGGAAGGAACAUCAGUGGCGAAAGCGGCUUCCUGGACCAGUACCGACGUUCAGCCACGAAAGCGUGGGGAGCAAACAGG
This 253-nucleotide ribosomal RNA is filed under the name uncultured bacterium. RNAcentral's name for it is "partial 16S ribosomal RNA". It matches the Rfam family "Bacterial small subunit ribosomal RNA", at positions 524 to 776 of the family's 1533-position model. The record is from RNAcentral.